GUGCUUGGCUGGGUGUGGAGAAGGAUCAAUCACAGCUGACUCCUCAGAGGUGACAGCCCCUGCCCCCUUAAAAACAAGAAAAGACCUAGCAGUGUGAAGCCAAACUGCACCCCCAGCCCCGGUGACAUGAGGAAACCAUGAGGCGCUCAGCCUGAGGUUCAUCGUUCAUCUCCUUCCUGCUUGGAAUCAGAAUGUCCUCACUGCUGAGUUUCUCCGUUUUAUGGGAUUACAUUAGUGGACAAAGGAGGAAGUCCCAGCCGGGAACACAGAAAGGAUAUGGAGAAAAUUAUUAUUCUGCCCAUACAGUCGUGGUGACCCAGAUGGGAUCUCUGGGACACCCUGCCUGCUCUACAAUUGGGAUCCCUGGAGAAGUGACAGAAUCUGGCAACAGCCCCCACCUAGGAACUGACUCAGCGCAAGAAGACAGCUUCAACUCCCUGUGAUUUCAUCCCUGACCAAUCAGCUCUCCUGGCUCACUGGCUUCCCCCAACCCACCAAGUCGUCCUUAAAAACUCUGCCCCCCGACUGCUGGGAGAGACUGAUUUGAGUAAUAAUAAAACUCUGGUCUCCUGCACAGCC
This 579-nucleotide non-coding RNA is filed under the name Pongo abelii (Sumatran orangutan). The record is from RNAcentral. Lineage: Eukaryota; Metazoa; Chordata; Mammalia; Primates; Hominidae.